UUUGUUCCCUAAAUAGGGACUUGUAUGAACGGCCACAAGAGGGCUUUACUGUCUCUUACUUCCAAUCCGUGAAAUUGACCUUCCCGUGAAGAGGCGGGAAUAUAAUAAUAAGACGAGAAGACCCUAUGGAGCUUUAAUUAACCGACCCAAAGAGACCCUAUGAACCAACCGACAGGAACAACAAACCUCUAUAUGGGCCGGCAAUUUAGGUUGGGGUGACCUCGGAGAACAAAACAACCUCCGAGUGAUUUAAAUCUAGACUAACUAGUCGAAAGUACUCCAUCACUUAUUGAUCCAAAAACCUUGAUCAACGGAACAAGUUACCCUAGGGAUAACAGCGCAAUUCUCUUUCAGAGUCCAUAUCGACAAUAGGG
RNAcentral lists this ribosomal RNA (374 nucleotides) under Felis margarita (sand cat). Its description in RNAcentral is "partial 16S ribosomal RNA". It matches the Rfam family "Bacterial large subunit ribosomal RNA", at positions 1968 to 2516 of the family's 2925-position model. Lineage: Eukaryota; Metazoa; Chordata; Mammalia; Carnivora; Felidae. The record is from RNAcentral.